AUGCAUGAUCUGGACGCCGAUCAGCUGCGGAAAACAAAGGAUUUGGGGGUGAAUUGGUUACUACCUGAGGAGCUCCACCUGGAGGGCGGGCCCGUCCUUGGUGCGGCGGUGGGAGGUGCCGCCGAAGCCGGUGGUGACGCCGUAGAUGUCGCCGCCGCCGGCGAGGCAGCUGAGGAUCCACUCGCUGCUGGCCUUGACGCGGGGCUGGCGCCCUCGAUCUUCACCACGGGCUCGCGGAACUGCGCCACCAUCCGCUUCACCUCGUCGAGGUGGCUGCCGGUGAGCUCGGCCGCCGCCGCGCCCCAGUUGAGCGGGUCCUUCUCGACGAUGGCUCCGUUGCCUGCCAUUCUCUCGGUGGGUGGUGCUGGUGGCCGGCGAACUGCGCGGAGGAGGAGGAGCAGGAGAGCCGAAGAAGAGCCGGAGGAGAUGGUGGUGAGCUCUUCUUGGAGGGAAACGGGAGCGGAGUGGCAGCUUAAAUAG
RNAcentral lists this ribosomal RNA (480 nucleotides) under Triticum aestivum (bread wheat). RNAcentral's name for it is "partial small subunit ribosomal RNA". The record is from RNAcentral. Lineage: Eukaryota; Viridiplantae; Streptophyta; Magnoliopsida; Poales; Poaceae.